Long non-coding RNA from Pan troglodytes (chimpanzee), 1257 nucleotides. RefSeq lists it as uncharacterized. The transcript is spliced from 3 exons. The record is from RefSeq and is a predicted model, not a curated record. NCBI's taxonomy places the organism in Eukaryota, Metazoa, Chordata, Mammalia, Primates, Hominidae.
CAGAUUAUGCCUUCAGCCAACCAGACCGGAACCAGGAAGUGAGUAGCUGAUCCUUAAGAACUGAGCAAAAACCAGCCAGGUGCAAAGAGUCCAAAGAGGCACGCGGAAGGCCUGCUGCUGGUGGGGACGCCAAUGCCUGCAGAGGGACUGCGGGAAGCCAGGGCCACUGAGCUGCUGCUCCCUUUCACCCUGCUGUACCUGCUGGAAUGGGAUGGCACUCUUUUCUUUACUGCCAUGGGACAGGGAGCUCCGGCAUUUCCGAGGACUGCAGGGAGAACCUGUCUACAAGACAGCCAAGCGUAAGAGAAGCCAGAGUUGAAGUUAUCUUGGAACCAAACAGUGGAGGAUUGGCGAAUUUGGUCACCAGUGGAUGCUGGGCUUGCCACUAGGGGCCAAGGUGUGGACCAAGGAGCUUCCAGCCAAGACAGAGCCGCUAACAACUUAAGGAGAAAACACGUACUGGGGUGAGAUGAUCUGAAGGGUGUUUCCAAUGAGAAUGACACAAAUACCAAGGACUGGAGGAGCCCUUGGAACAACUGAUAAAGCUUCCCACAUUUUUUUUUUUUUUGAGAUGGAGUCUCACUCUGUCACCCAGCCUGGAGUGCAAUCGCAUGAUCUCGGCUCACUGCAACCUCUGCCUCCUGGAAUCAAGGAAUUCUCCUGCCUCAGCCUCCUGAGUAGCUGGGAUUACAGGCUCCCACCACCACACCUGGCUAAUUUUGUAUUUUUAGUAGAGACAGGGUUUCACCAUGUUGGUCAGGCUGGUCUCGAACUCCUGACCUCAGGUGAUCCACCUGCUUCCGCCUCCCAAAGUGCUGGGAUUACAGGCAUGAGCCACUGCGCCUGGUCAGUUUCCCACAUUUUCGUAAGAUUAUGUUUGGCCUACAAAAGCUCAACCCAAAGCUAUCUUAUCAAGCUGGUAUGGAAUCUUUAUUUCAGCAAGGUGAUAUCCCCACUAUGUAAUUCAACCUUUUGUUUAUUCCAAUAAUUAGUACGAAGGUGCUAUUCUAACUAAAAUUGUGUUAAAUUUGAGAUAAAAUCAAUGUAUUUUUGUAAUUUUGUUUUCACCCUGAAAAUUGGUCCUACUAUAAGACAAGAUGGGAUCACCCUUCCUGUGACGGCUGGCUCCGGUGGAAGCCUGCGUGGGGCUCCCAUACCCCUCAUCCUCCGGGACAGAUCAUCACCCUGUCUCUGCUUAAAUGCCUCUGGUAACAGGGAGCUCACUAGCCCACAAGGAAGUCUGCUCUGUUUUUGACA